AAUAGAUACCCGGGUAGUCCACGCCGUAAACGAUGAGUGCUAAGUGUUAGAGGGUUUCCGCCCUUUAGUGCUGCAGCUAACGCAUUAAGCACUCCGCCUGGGGAGUACGGCCGCAAGGCUGAAACUCAAAGGAAUUGACGGGGGCCCGCACAAGCGGUGGAGCAUGUGGUUUAAUUCGAAGCAACGCGAAGAACCUUACCAGGUCUUGACAUCCUCUGCGAACCCUAGAGAUAGGGCGUUCCCCUUCGGGGGACAGAGUGACAGGUGGUGCAUGGUUGUCGUCAGCUCGUGUCGUGAGAUGUUGGGUUAAGUCCCGCAACGAGCGCAACCCUUGAUCUUAGUUGCCAGCAUUCAGUUGGGCACUCUAAGGUGACUGCCGGUGACAAACCGGAGGAAGGUGGGGAUGACGUCAAAUCAUCAUGCCCCUUAUGACCUGGGCUACACACGUGCUACAAUGGAUGGUACAAAGAGCUGCGAACCCGCGAGGGUAAGCCAAUCUCAUAAAGCCAUUCUCAGUUCGGAUUGU
Molecule: ribosomal RNA, 526 nt
Filed under: uncultured bacterium
Lineage: Bacteria
Description: bacterial SSU rRNA
Rfam family: Bacterial small subunit ribosomal RNA
Source: RNAcentral